Choloepus hoffmanni (Hoffmann's two-fingered sloth) is the source of this 75-nucleotide small nucleolar RNA. Ensembl annotates it as small nucleolar RNA, C/D box 114-2. Its record names the gene SNORD114-2. NCBI's taxonomy places the organism in Eukaryota, Metazoa, Chordata, Mammalia, Pilosa, Megalonychidae. The record is from Ensembl.
UGGACCAGUGAUGGGGACUGGUGACGUAUGAGUCAUUUAUGAUGAAUAGUGUGUGUCUGGAAGUCAGAGGUCCAA